CACUAUUUCCCCUGUGGUGCGCGCCGUAGCUCUACUGUGCGAGUGGAAGGAAGCGAGGCCCGGCAGCGCGGAGGACUCAGCGCGUCGCGUGCUCUUGUGGCUCUGAAGAGUUUCCUGGGUAAGAGAGAACCGUGUGAGCCCGGCCAACAUGAGGAGAUCAAAGCAAGAGGGCUUUCCCGAGAGCUCCUUCUGACCUGUUCCCAGUGAAGCCUGGUCACGCUGCCAAGGAAGGGGCUACCACUGACCCUCCAGCUGGAGCAGGACAGCAGAUGUGAGCGGACACCGCAGAGCCAGCUCAGAGCCAGGGAAAAGCUCCUGCACCAUCACAGCCACUCACUGAACUCCAGUCUCCCUGGACAUCCUUCUGGCAACAGGGUCAAUUUCAGAAGAAACUCAGGCUGGGGCAGCAGCACAGAAGCUGGAUACAACCUGAUGCAGCUCGCAAGAAGCAUCUUAUGAAGUGCCCAAGCUUAUAAAUGCUACUAAUAGUGCCAGACGAGCCACAGCUAUUUUCAAAGAUGUUCUUAAGAAAUACGCACAUUUUCUUGCAAAAGUAAAAACAAACCUCUGGAAGCAGAGGUUAAACUAUGUGAGAUGGGCAGACAAUAAAGCCCCUCUGUAAAAAACAGGCCAGUGGCUUUGAAGGAAAUUUUUACCCUAGAGGUUUCAAAAGAUUGCUUACGUGGAGAGACUUUUGGCAAGUCAGUCUUACUCCCUUCAGAUUUUUUAAAAGCCCAUUCAACAUGGCCACUACCACUGCACAGAAAAGACCAGGUUCAGUUCAGCCAUAUCAGAAGAAAAGAAACAAAAUCAGAAGUGACUGAGCUGAGCUUGAAUUCUUCUAAUUACAUUUGCUGAAUAUAAAA
Harpia harpyja (harpy eagle) is the source of this 866-nucleotide long non-coding RNA. RefSeq lists it as uncharacterized. The record is from RefSeq and is a predicted model, not a curated record. The transcript is spliced from 3 exons. Lineage: Eukaryota; Metazoa; Chordata; Aves; Accipitriformes; Accipitridae.